GUGCUCACUUUUGGCAGCACUUAUACUAAAAUUGGAAUGAUACAGAGAAGAUUAGUAUGGCCUCUGCACAAGGAAGACACACAAAUUCAUGAAGCGUUACAUAUUUUU
Tupaia belangeri (northern tree shrew) is the source of this 108-nucleotide small nuclear RNA. The record is from Ensembl. NCBI's taxonomy places the organism in Eukaryota, Metazoa, Chordata, Mammalia, Scandentia, Tupaiidae.